Molecule: ribosomal RNA, 405 nt
Rfam family: Bacterial small subunit ribosomal RNA
UGGGGAAUAUUGCGCAAUGGGGGAAACCCUGACGCAGCAACGCCGCGUGAAGGAAGAAGGUCUUCGGAUUGUAAACUUUUGUCUUUGGGGACGAAAAAAAUGACGGUACCCAAGGAGGAAGCCACGGCUAACUACGUGCCAGCAGCCGCGGUAAUACGUAGGUGGCAAGCGUUGUCCGGAUUUACUGGGUGUAAAGGGCGUGUAGGCGGGACGGCAAGUCAGAUGUGAAAUACCGGAGCUCAACUCCGGAACUGCAUUUGAAACUGUUGUUCUUGAGUGCCGGAGAGGAAAGCGGAAUUACUAGUGUAGCGGUGAAAUGCGUAGAUAUUAGUAGGAACACCGGUGGCGAAGGCGGCUUUCUGGACGGUAACUGACGCUGAGGCGCGAAAGCGUGGGGAGCAAACA